RNAcentral lists this ribosomal RNA (453 nucleotides) under Allofranklinella schreckenbergeri. Its description in RNAcentral is "bacterial SSU rRNA". It matches the Rfam family "Bacterial small subunit ribosomal RNA", at positions 9 to 464 of the family's 1533-position model. Lineage: Bacteria; Pseudomonadati; Pseudomonadota; Betaproteobacteria; Burkholderiales; Comamonadaceae. The record is from RNAcentral.
GAGUUUGAUUCUGGCUCAGAUUGAACGCUGGCGGCAUGCUUUACACAUGCAAGUCGAACGGCAGCGCGGGCUUCGGCCUGGCGGCGAGUGGCGAACGGGUGAGUAAUACAUCGGAACAUGCCCACUUGUGGGGGAUAGCUCGGCGAAAGCCGGAUUAAUACCGCAUGAGAUCUACGGAUGAAAGCAGGGGACCUUCGGGCCUUGCGCGAGUGGAGUGGCCGAUGGCAGAUUAGGUAGUUGGUGGGGUAAAGGCCUACCAAGCCUGCGAUCUGUAGCUGGUCUGAGAGGACGACCAGCCACACUGGGACUGAGACACGGCCCAGACUCCUACGGGAGGCAGCAGUGGGGAAUUUUGGACAAUGGGCGCAAGCCUGAUCCAGCAAUGCCGCGUGCAGGACGAAGGCCCUCGGGUUGUAAACUGCUUUUGUACAGAACGAAAAGAGCUGGGUUAAU